GAGCAACGCCGCGUGAGGGACGAAGGCCUCUGGGCUGUAAACCUCUUUUCUCAAGGAAGAAGAUCUGACGGUACUUGAGGAAUAAGCCACGGCUAAUUCCGUGCCAGCAGCCGCGGUAAUACGGGAGUGGCAAGCGUUAUCCGGAAUUAUUGGGCGUAAAGCGUCCGCAGGCGGCCUGAUAAGUCUGUUGUCAAAGCGUGGAGCUCAACUCCAUUUCGGCAAUGGAAACUGUGAGGCUUGAGUGUGGUAGGGGCAGAGGGAAUUCCCGGUGUAGCGGUGAAAUGCGUAGAUAUCGGGAAGAACACCAGUGGCGAAGGCGCUCUGCUGGGCCAUAACUGACGCUCAUGGACGAAAGCCAGGGGAGCGAAAGGGAUUAGAUACCCCUGUAGUCCUGGCCGUAAACGAUGAACACUAGGUGUCGGGGGAAUCGACCCCCUCGGUGUCGUAGCCAACGCGUUAAGUGUUCCGCCUGGGGAGUACGCACGCAAGUGUGAAACUCAAAGGAAUUGACGGGGGCCCGCACAAGCGGUGGAGUAUGUGGUUUAAUUCGAUGCAACGCGAAGAACCUUACCAGGGUUUGACAUCCUACGAAUCCCUUGGAAACUUGGGAGUGCCUUCGGGAGCGCAGUGACAGGUGGUGCAUGGCUGUCGUCAGCUCGUGUCGUGAGAUGUUGGGUUAAGUCCCGCAACGAGCGCAACCCACGUCUUUAGUUGCCAGCAUUCAGUUGGGCACUCUAGAGAGACCGCCGGUGAUAAACCGGAGGAAGGUGUGGAUGACGUCAAGUCAUCAUGCCCCUUACAUCCUGGGCUACACACGUACUACAAUGCUACGGACAAAGGGCAGCAAACUCGCGAGAGCUAGCAAAUCCCAUAAACCGUGGCUCAGUUCAGAUCGUAGGCUGCAACUCGCUUACGUGAAGGAGGAAUCGCUAGUAAUCGCAGGUCAGCAUACUGCGGUGAAUACGUUCCCGGGCCUUUGUACACACCGCCCGUCACACCAUGGAAGUUGGCCACGCCCGAAGCCGUUACUCCAACCCUUGUGGAGGAGGACGUCGAAGGUGGGGCUGAUAACUGGGGUGAAGUCGUAACAAGGUAGCCGUACCGGAAGGUG
RNAcentral lists this ribosomal RNA (1111 nucleotides) under uncultured cyanobacterium. RNAcentral's name for it is "bacterial SSU rRNA". It matches the Rfam family "Bacterial small subunit ribosomal RNA", at positions 389 to 1514 of the family's 1533-position model. Lineage: Bacteria; Bacillati; Cyanobacteriota. The record is from RNAcentral.